GCCUCCUCCGCGCCAAGCGCUAGCUCUGCGUCCCGUCCCGCCCACUGCUCGCCCGUGUGCAUGUCCUUCUCCUCCGACGGCGGCCUGUGCUUCUCCGGCUGCCUCGAUGGAGCCGAGGAGCUCCGCGGCAUUGUGCUUUUGAUGGUCCACGGCGGCUACAUGAAGGGCCUCGUCCGAGCGUUCGGCGGCGGCGCCGGCUCGUUGUCGGCGCACUGCGGAGGCCUCGGCCCCGGCCACCGGCCCCGUGGAGCUCCUUCUAGGGAGUUGGUUCUUGGAGCUGGACGUUUUUCGUGUUCAUCCUCUUUUUAUGCGAUGUUCAGGGUAUUUUUAGUGUGAUUUUUGAUUCGCGAGAUAUACUGCAUCUUUUCACAAACUUCUUUUUGGAUCUGUUAAUUCUUGAAGGUGCGGACCUAUGGCUCGAGUUUCGCUUCGAUCCGUUGCAAUUUGAAUAGUAUUUUGGACUU
This is a long non-coding RNA of Panicum virgatum (switchgrass), 464 nucleotides long. RefSeq lists it as uncharacterized. Lineage: Eukaryota; Viridiplantae; Streptophyta; Magnoliopsida; Poales; Poaceae. The transcript has 2 exons. The record is from RefSeq and is a predicted model, not a curated record.